AUGGGAGGAGGACUGCUGGAGCACCUCAGGACGUCGGUGUGGUUCUACGUGGCGCCAGUGGUGGCGGCCUGCGCGCCCAUCGGCGUCCUCAGGACCUACUUCAACCAGCACCUCCGGCGGCCCCUCCGCCGGCUCCUCCCGUUCCUCGACCCCUUCGUCACCAUCGACAUCACGGCCGGCGACUCCGACGACAGCUACUACUACGAGUCCCGCGGCAGGGCCAAGUCGAGCGACGCCUACGCGGAGGUGCUGGCGUACCUAAGCGCGGCGUGCUCGCGGGAGGCGCGGGAGCUCCGGGCCGAGGGCGCCGCCGAGGGCCACGGCUUCGUGCUCAGCCUCCGCCAGGGCCAGGAGGUCGCCGACGAGUUCCAGGGCGUCACCAUGUGGUGGUCCGCCGUCGCUCCGGACCAGCAGCAGCAGGGCGCCCGGGGUUGCUGCCGCCUUACCUUCCAUGAGCGCCACCGGAAGCUCGUCGUCGAUGAGUACCUGCCGCACGUCCGCUGUGCUGGCCAGGAGGUCACCUUCCUCAACCGCCGUCGCAGGCUCUACUCCAACAAGGAGGGCGUCAGCUACUACUCGUCGUCCAGGGAGGUGUGGAGCUACAUAGACUUCAACCACCCAACCACCUUCCAAACCCUAGCCAUGGACCCCGCCAAGAAGCAG
RNAcentral lists this ribosomal RNA (663 nucleotides) under Triticum aestivum (bread wheat). RNAcentral describes it as "partial small subunit ribosomal RNA". The record is from RNAcentral. Lineage: Eukaryota; Viridiplantae; Streptophyta; Magnoliopsida; Poales; Poaceae.